Molecule: ribosomal RNA, 478 nt
Filed under: uncultured bacterium
Lineage: Bacteria
Description: partial 16S ribosomal RNA
Rfam family: Bacterial small subunit ribosomal RNA
Source: RNAcentral
GAUGAACGCCGACAGAAUGCUUAACACAUGCAAGUCUACUUGAUUCUACUUCGGUAGUUGAUGGUGGCGGACGGGUGAGUAACGCGUAAAGAAUCUGCCCUUUAGUUUGGGGUAACCUUUGGAAACAAAGGCUAAUACCGGAUAUUAUGGAGACGUCGCAUGACGACUCCAUGAAAGCUAUAUGCGCUAGAGGAGGAAUUUGCGUACAAUUAGUUAGUUGGUGAGGUAAGGGAUCACCAAGACCGCGAUGGGUAGCCGGCCUGAGAGGGUGAUCGGCCACAAGGGAACUGAGACACGGUCCUUACUCCUACGGGAGGCAGCAGUGGGGAAUAUUGGACAAUGGGCCACAAGCCUGAUCCAGCAAUUCUGUGUGCACGAUGAAGGUCUUCGGAUUGUAAAGUGCUUUCAGUAGGGAAGAAAAAAAUGACGGUACCUACAGAAGAAGCGACGGCUAAAUAUGUGCCAGCAGCCGCGGUAA